ACUCCUACGGGAGGCAGCAGUGAGGAAUAUUGGUCAAUGGACGAGAGUCUGAACCAGCCAAGUAGCGUGAAGGAUGACUGCCCUAUGGGUUGUAAACUUCUUUUAUAAGGGAAUAAAGUGAGGGACGUGUCCCUUUUUGUAUGUACCUUAUGAAUAAGGAUCGGCUAACUCCGUGCCAGCAGCCGCGGUAAUACGGAGGAUCCAAGCGUUAUCCGGAUUUAUUGGGUUUAAAGGGAGCGUAGGUUGACAUAUAAGUCAGCUGUGAAAGUUUACGGCUCAACCGUGAAAUUGCAGUUGAUACUGUAUGUCUUGAGUGUACAAGAGGUGGGCGGAAUUCGUGGUGUAGCGGUGAAAUGCUUAGAUAUCACGAAGAACUCCAAUUGCGAAGGCAGCUCACUGGGGUACAACUGACACUGAGGCUCGAAAGUGUGGGUAUCAAACAGGAUUAGAUACCCUGGUAGUC
This 463-nucleotide ribosomal RNA is filed under the name uncultured bacterium. Its description in RNAcentral is "bacterial SSU rRNA". It matches the Rfam family "Bacterial small subunit ribosomal RNA", at positions 335 to 795 of the family's 1533-position model. The record is from RNAcentral.